This 295-nucleotide ribosomal RNA is filed under the name uncultured bacterium. RNAcentral describes it as "partial 16S ribosomal RNA". It matches the Rfam family "Bacterial small subunit ribosomal RNA", at positions 53 to 339 of the family's 1533-position model. The record is from RNAcentral.
ACAUGCAAGUCGAGGGGCAUCAGUUUGGUUUGCUUGCAAACCAAAGCUGGCGACCGGCGGAAGGGUGCGUAACGCGUGAGCGACAUGCCCGUUGCCCGGGGACAACCGGUGGAAACGCCGACUAAUCCCCGAUGGGACGGAGGCCCUCAUGGGUCUCUGUUGAAAGUUACGGCGGCGACGGAUUGGCUCGCGUCCGAUUAGCUAGUUGGCGGGGUAACGGCCCACCAAGGCUACGAUCGGUAGGGGUUCUGAGAGGAAGGUCCCCACAAUGGAACUGAGACACGGUCCAUACUCC